RNAcentral lists this long non-coding RNA (1704 nucleotides) under Sus scrofa (pig). RNAcentral describes it as "lncRNA (ENSSSCG00030009278.1)". Lineage: Eukaryota; Metazoa; Chordata; Mammalia; Artiodactyla; Suidae. The record is from RNAcentral.
AUCUCUUAUUUGUUGAGCAACUUCCUGGCACAGAGGCAAAGGAAGCUGCAGUCCUCUCCCUGGGGAAUUCAUCAUCUCCUGGAGAGCAGGAUGUAGCCAAAGAAAAGAAUCUGGAAUGGAGAAAACUGUCAGAGGAGAGGCUCCAACACCAGUGCUGCAAGAGAUGCUGGGUUCACAAGGUCGAGGGAGCUCCACGUUGAAGGGUUGUCGUGAGCACUACUGAGAUGAGGACCCGAACUGCUUACCGCAGAGCCUGCUCUUUGGACGCUGGACUCUCAGGAGUGGAUCUCCGUGCUGACGUUAGUAAGAAGACAGCAUCCAGCAUCCUGACGCUUCUGUCCCUCUGAACUGCAGCUGACUUCUACAAAUCCAGUCUCCAAAUGAGUCCUGUCCUAAUUUAUGCAAAGACAUCCACGUGGGUCUAUAGCCCGAGCUGUCCCGUCUUGGGAUCAGGCUAUGGGAGUGGAGAAAAUAGGUGGGAACUUCCUGAUGUCCCCCCAUCCCCCAGGACUCAGGUUUGUUGACUCAGAGUGGAGGAUGAACCAGGCAGCAGGGAAUGUCCAGGAGAAAGGGCCUGGCCUGCGCUCCCAAAUCCUGGCACUGCGCAUCUGGAGUGAUCAGCACAUCUGGCUGCAUCCCUGGGGCAAUGGCCACAGCUGCUGACAUUUGGGGGAGGAGAGAUGUAGCUCCUCAGCCAGGGCCUGGGGAGCUAUAAAUAACUAGCUAAGAGGACCAGGGGGAUGAGUUUGACCUUUGGGGGGGGGCGAGAGCGCCUGGCGACUUUCCCCCACCCCCUUGGGUCCGGAGCCAAAGUUUUAGCAAAACAGGAAGAGGCAGCAGCAGCUGCUGGGAAAGUAGGAGUGGCUCCCCUUCCCCCACUUGCCCGGGGCCUUCGGAUCCCAGCCAGGACCUGGGAGAGGUGGAGUCUUCUAGGCUGGGGUGAGGGGAGGGGCAGACCCACGCAGACUGUGGCCCCAGCUCCUGGAGGCCUCUGAUGAUGGGCUCAGCUGGGGCCCAGGCGAGGGAGGGUGAGGCAGAGGAGGGCAGCCUAGUGGGCUGUGCCUGUCACCCCAGCCCCCUCCUGUUUCCUUUCUGUUCCCCCAUCAGUGGGACCACAGGAAGGACCAGACAUUAGAAAUGGAGCAUAAAUAUGUCUGCAAUCCAGCCAGUGCAUCUAGGGGCCCACCUGUCUCUUCCAUCCCCUCCCAGCCCACAUGUGGGCUGAGCCUAAGCCCAAGUAGGUAGGAGAGAGGACUCUGGACAGGAGGAAGGGUGCUUCGGGGCUUCUGGAGUGGAACCCAAGGCCUGGCCCCAGUGGAAUGAUGGAGAACUUCCCUGCGAACUAUUGAGGUGGGGAGAUCCAAAGCCUGGAGUAACUGGUCCCCAGGAACAAGCUCUGUAGAGCUGGGAGCCGGCGCAGAGGGCCUCAGGAAGUCCACCACGAAAGGAGUUGUCCAGGAACUAUCGCUUUGCUUUGCUUUGCCUGGGGGAGACUGGCCACUCUGGCGACAUCUGGUUGAAACUUCGGCUGGCCCACAUCUCCAGUGGGUCUGUAGCUUUAUCUUUCAUGACCUGUCACUGGAGCCACUCAGCCUGGAGUCCUGCAUUUUGUGUGCAGGGAGGGGCUAGACCAGCACCACCCAAUAGAAACAGAAUAGGGGCCAUGGAGGUAACUUUACAUUUUCUUUAAAAAAAAAAAAAAAA